Long non-coding RNA from Oncorhynchus keta (chum salmon), 2489 nucleotides. RefSeq lists it as uncharacterized. Lineage: Eukaryota; Metazoa; Chordata; Actinopteri; Salmoniformes; Salmonidae. The record is from RefSeq and is a predicted model, not a curated record. The transcript is spliced from 4 exons.
CUCUCGAUGAACAAAACUUUCCAAAGAUUAUGAGUCAUUCUCAGAAGAUGUUUGUGCUGUUUGGGUCAACCUAUAUAUGUGAACAGACAUUCAUGUCAGUGAUUCUCUCGUUAACACAGGUGUGAGUGUUGACGAGGACAAGGCUGGAGAUCUCUCUGUCAUGCUGAUUGAGUUCCAAAUAACAGACUUGAAGCUUCAAAAGGAGGGUGGUGCUUGGAAUCAUUUUUCUUUCUCUGUCAACCAUGGUUACCUGCAAGGAAACAUGUGCCGUCAUCAUUGCUUUCCACAAAAAGUGCUUCACAGGCAAAGAUAUUGCUGCCAGUAAGAUCGCACCUAAAUCAACCAUUUAUCGGAUCAUCAAGAACUUCAAGGAGAGCGGUUCAAUUGUUGUGAAGAAGGCUUCAGGGUGCUCAAGAAAGUCCAGCAAGCGCCAUGACCGUCUCCUAAAGUUGAUUCAGCUGCAGGAUCGGGGCACCACCAGUACAGAGCUUGCUCAGGAAUGGCAGCAGGCAGGUGUGAGUGCAUCUGCAUGCACAGUGAGGUGAAGACUUUUGGAGGAUGGCCUGGUGUCAAGAAGGGCACCAAAGAAGCCACUUCUUUCCAGGAAAAACAUCGGGGACAGACUCAUAUUCUGCAAAAUGUACAGGGAUUGGACUGCUGAGGACUGGGGUAAAGUCAUUUUCUCUGAUGAAUCCCCUUUCAUCUGGCUGACCACCCAGAAUCCCGCCCCCUCUUCAUCUCCCACUGUGCCCUGACCAAACUGCCAGGCGCUGCACCAUCACCACGGAGAACAAGAUAUCAACAUCGCCAGGGUGUUCAGGACCUGGGGGUGCGUCUGCACUUCCCUCUGGGUAACCUAACGUCUCAGAGCAGUGAGACCAGAGAGCACCUCUUCACAGCUGAUGGGUGUGUCCGUGCUGCUGGGGCUCUACAACACCUACGAGGGGAGACCCCCCUACCUCCAGCCAGGGACGCCCGUACACUCUGUACUUCUCCCAUGUGGGGGAAGGAGAACAUGCUGGUGAAGCUGGUUAGGGUGCUGUUCAUCCACCCUGCAGUGGGACCUACCCUGGCAGCUAACAAACACCUAGUACACGACCUGCUGGACACACUGAGGGAGUUUCAGCGUUUUUAGGGCCUGGUGUGUCGGACCCUGUGGAACCUCACUGAGAAGGGGGGGGGGGCAGACUCCCCAGCCACACUGGACAACCAGGAGAAAGAGGCACUGCUUGAGGUCCAAACACUGCACCUAGACGAGGAGGCAGCGCUGCAGUGGACCUCUGGUGAUUACGAGGGACUUCCACCGAGCAUUCUGGGAGUCAGAGUUCCGUCCUGUGGCUCAGAGGCUGAGGGACAGGAUCCAGACUCAAACUGUCUGCCAUCUACACAGUCUCCCUCCCUAAAGUGUGAUGUCCUAGCCUUUCUUCUUGCUGUGCCCUGCCUCCAGUGUCUGUACUAAACACACUUUAUACCUUCCAGUUCUACCACGCUCUCCAAUUCCAUUAGUAAGGUCCUGACCAGGGACAACUCUGGGACUUAGUUAUAGGCUGUUACUUGGGUUGAGUGUUUUCCAAGUCAGGAAACCCUCUUGGCCCUAGCUAUGACAUAUUUUGAGCCUCUGACCUGUAUGACAAACUGUUUUUGUUGGACCAUAAUGUAACUGGUAAUGUAUUAUCAUCAUAAGCUACUCUUACAUUGCAAUAAUUGUAAAUUGCUUCUGUGGUGAUAAAGUUAGAACAUUGUUAAUCUGAACUGCUGUAAGUAACAAACCACAACAAAACAAAGUGUGGUAAACGUUCUCCUUCUCAAAGCCUUUAUUGUUACAGAUAUGGACCAGGCCAGGCAGUACUGCUGCAAAGUUAGUAAAGAACAGCGCUUUUUAAAUCACAACAUCAUCAUUACAUCAAAUAAGUACAAAAACAGCACUUCUGUCAAAAUAAAGUAAACCUAUCCUGCAAUAACGCCUUAGUGACCACAACCCAAUAGCAUUUCAUCAGCCAUAGUUAAUGACACAUGGUUCUCUACAUGAUACACACCUGUCCGUCUGGGAUGAUAAAGUUAGUUGGGUAAUUGUGGAGGUAUUAAGUGCAUCUAUUGUGUAUAAUAGUCUCAUCCUGUUCAGAUUGUCGUAGGGAAAUGAGGCAGUUCAGUAUCAGUAGAGAUAUGGACCAAGUCACUCUGUUUGCCCUUAAUAGAAAAGUCCCUGAACAUCCAGAGAAUUCAGUCACCCACAAUGAUGCCAGGGAGUUUCCGCAGGGAGAACGGAACAGGACAGGAAGGUGAGCAGAAUAGAGGUCAAAGGUGAUCCUUUCCCUCAUCUCACUGCACAUUAGACAGGUCCAAGUGUUCUAGCACAACAGGUGUGGGAGUAACAUUCAACCUUGGACUCGUCAACACAAACAUUGAACCACAGAGUUCAGUGUAGUAUAAAAUGGGAGGACUGACUCCCCACUGGACAAAAACAAGUUGAAUCAACAUUUUGACAUGAU